GGCAUCCAGCAUCCAGUUCCCAGUGAGUCUGGAAGUCAACAGGAACCCAAGAGCUGAGUUUAGAGUCCCUUUUGGCAAGAAAAGCACCACCUGGUGAACCACUUUGAAAAGCUGAAAGAAGUAAACUGGUUUGCAAACACGUAGCAAAGCCCUUUGUUCUCACAAAGAAUAAGGUGGAGAUACUUCCCUGCAGUGACACCAAUCAGAGAGGGGCUGAGGAUGGCAUGAGGAGCAGGCUAAAAGGAAGGGAUGGUGUUCAUGGUACAAUGCCCAGCUCCAUGUGCUUCCUGUGCUGUUCCUAGCCAGGUUCUCAGCUCCUAAGUUGAAGUCUGCUGAAGCGUCCUUAGUCUUUGCUGCAUAGGCCGCUAAAGCCGUCUACCUUUCAGUGGAUCCAAAAGCACGUGUUUUGGAUUGUAAGCAAGAAACAAAGAAUGAAGGAAAGCCAGGAAGUCAUCAAUCUAGGAAAAAAGUUAGAGUUUUAACUAUGGCUCCUCCCAACAACUGAUUAAAGGCUAAGACAGCAGCUUGGCUGGAAAGACUGCUUCCCUCCUGACUCCCAAGAGGAAUUCUAUUGGGAAGGGGAGAGAGCCCAAGCAAAAACAGAAGGAACGGAAUCUGACUGAUGAGCGUGGAAAAUGAAGGAACAAUUCAAGAUUUCACACACACCAACCCAUCACUUUCAACUGUUUCAUUUUUUGUAGUUGUUUCAGGCUCUGUUUAAGACUUUUGCUCCUUCUGUGGAGCACUGAGAAACUGGGAAGAGAAAGGGGAACUAACUACUCCAUCUAUCAGGAGGCUUCCCUCUGGCCCAAAGCUGUGUACACUCCCACCGGGGAUCUUCAGGGGAAGCACAUUUUGUGCUGCAGAACAUGUGCUAGUUUACAUCCUGUUUUCAUUUCUGCAGAAAAUUCACUUCCUAAACAGUAAUGGUGAGAGUUUCUGUAAUCU
This 948-nucleotide long non-coding RNA is filed under the name Parus major (Great Tit). RNAcentral describes it as "lncRNA (ENSPMJG00000000537.1)". The record is from RNAcentral. Lineage: Eukaryota; Metazoa; Chordata; Aves; Passeriformes; Paridae.